This 632-nucleotide ribosomal RNA is filed under the name uncultured bacterium. RNAcentral's name for it is "bacterial SSU rRNA". It matches the Rfam family "Bacterial small subunit ribosomal RNA", at positions 28 to 636 of the family's 1533-position model. The record is from RNAcentral.
AACGAACGCUGGCGGCGUGCCUAACACACGCAAGUCGAACGAGAAAGCGGGCUUCGGCCCGCGAGUAGAGUGGCAGACGGGUGAGUAACACGUGGGUAACCUGCCCGGAGGUGGGGAAUAACCCUCCGAAAGGAGGGCUAAUACCGCAUGAUAUCUCGGGAGUUCGCUUCCGCGAUCAAAGCUAGCCUCUACAUGUAAGCUAGCGCCACCGGAGGGGCCCGCGGCCCAUUAGCUUGUUGGUGAGGUAACGGCUCACCAAGGCCACGAUGGGUAGCCGGCCUGAGAGGGUGAACGGCCACACUGGAACUGGGACACGGUCCAGACUCCUACGGGAGGCAGCAGUGAGGAAUCUUGCGCAAUGGGGGAAACCCUGACGCAGCGACGCCGCGUGGAGGACGAAGGCCUUCGGGUCGUAAACUCCUGUCAAGUGGGACGAAUGCCGCGGGGAUGAAUAAGCUCCGCGGUUGACGGUACCACUGAAGGAAGCCCCGGCUAACUCCGUGCCAGCAGCCGCGGUAAUACGGAGGGGGCCAGCGUUGUUCGGAAUCAUUGGGCGUAAAGGGCGCGUAGGCGGCCCGGCAAGUCAGACGUGAAAUCCCUCGGCUCAACCAAGGAACUGCGUUUGAAACUGC